RNAcentral lists this ribosomal RNA (115 nucleotides) under Larimichthys crocea (large yellow croaker). Lineage: Eukaryota; Metazoa; Chordata; Actinopteri; Sciaenidae. The record is from RNAcentral.
GCUUACGGCCAUACCACCUGAACACCGCCCGAUCUCGUCGAUCUCGGAAGCUAAGCAGGUCGGCCGGUUAGUACUUGGAUGGGAAGACCGCCUGGGAAUACCAGUGCUGUAAGCU